RNAcentral lists this transfer RNA (58 nucleotides) under Diaphorina citri (Asian citrus psyllid). It matches the Rfam family "tRNA", at positions 8 to 63 of the family's 71-position model. From Rfam's summary of the family: Transfer RNA (tRNA) molecules are approximately 80 nucleotides in length. The record is from Rfam by way of RNAcentral. Lineage: Eukaryota; Metazoa; Arthropoda; Insecta; Hemiptera; Psyllidae.
UAGCUUGGAGGGUAGUGCAUCUGCCUUGUAAGCACUAGGUUGCGGGUUCGAUUCCCGC